AACUAACGCUGGCGGCAUGCCUAACACAUGCAAGUCGAACGAUUGCCUUCGGGUGAUAGUGGCGCACGGGUGCGUAACGCGUGGGAAUCUGCCCUUAGGUUCGGAAUAACAGCUGGAAACGGCUGCUAAUACCGGAUGAUAUCGCGAGAUCAAAGAUUUAUCGCCUGAGGAUGCGCCCGCGUUGGAUUAGGUAGUUGGUGGGGUAAAGGCCUACCAAGCCGACGAUCCAUAGCUGGUCUGAGAGGAUGAUCAGCCACACUGGGACUGAGACACGGCCCAGACUCCUACGGGAGGCAGCAGUGGGGAAUAUUGGACAAUGGGCGCAAGCCUGAUCCAGCAAUGCCGCGUGAGUGAUGAAGGCCCUAGGGUUGUAAAGCUCUUUUACCCGGGAAGAUAAUGACUGUACCGGGAGAAUAAGCCCCGGCUAACUCCGUG
This 435-nucleotide ribosomal RNA is filed under the name uncultured bacterium. RNAcentral's name for it is "partial 16S ribosomal RNA". It matches the Rfam family "Bacterial small subunit ribosomal RNA", at positions 29 to 507 of the family's 1533-position model. The record is from RNAcentral.